RNAcentral lists this ribosomal RNA (103 nucleotides) under Candidatus Omnitrophota bacterium. Its description in RNAcentral is "partial 23S ribosomal RNA". It matches the Rfam family "Bacterial large subunit ribosomal RNA", at positions 1 to 103 of the family's 2925-position model. Lineage: Bacteria; Pseudomonadati; Candidatus Omnitrophota. The record is from RNAcentral.
CUUGAAGCUACUAAGAGUCCAUGGUGGAUGCCUUGGCGCUAGACGGCGAUGAAGGACGUGGUAAGCUGCGAUAAGCCCCGGGGAGUUGCAAACAAAUGUCGAU